GUGCCAGCAGCCGCGGUAAUACGUAGGGUCCGAGCGUUGUCCGGAAUUACUGGGCGUAAAGAGCUCGUAGGUGGUUUGUCGCGUUGUCCGUGAAAACUCACAGCUUAACUGUGGGCGUGCGGGCGAUACGGGCAGACUAGAGUACUGCAGGGGAGACUGGAAUUCCUGGUGUAGCGGUGGAAUGCGCAGAUAUCAGGAGGAACACCGGUGGCGAAGGCGGGUCUCUGGGCAGUAACUGACGCUGAGGAGCGAAAGCGUGGGGAGCGAACAGGAUUAGAAACCCUUGUAGUCC
RNAcentral lists this ribosomal RNA (292 nucleotides) under uncultured Mycolicibacterium sp. Its description in RNAcentral is "partial 16S ribosomal RNA". It matches the Rfam family "Bacterial small subunit ribosomal RNA", at positions 505 to 796 of the family's 1533-position model. The record is from RNAcentral. Lineage: Bacteria; Bacillati; Actinomycetota; Actinomycetes; Mycobacteriales; Mycobacteriaceae.